AAGGCUUUAGCUUAAUUAAAGUGUCUGAGUUGCAUUCAGGAGAUGUGGGAUAAAGUCCUGCAAGUCUUA
This 69-nucleotide transfer RNA is filed under the name Porochilus rendahli. Its description in RNAcentral is "tRNA-Ala". It matches the Rfam family "tRNA". From Rfam's summary of the family: Transfer RNA (tRNA) molecules are approximately 80 nucleotides in length. Their secondary structure includes four short double-helical elements and three loops (D, anti-codon, and T loops). Lineage: Eukaryota; Metazoa; Chordata; Actinopteri; Siluriformes; Plotosidae. The record is from RNAcentral.